CGCCUCCAGCGCGCAGUUUGAACAUCCUCACCUGUUUCCACUGCGGGUUGCUGCUGGCGUCUUCCACACAAACUGAUCCAAAUCUUUGAACCUACUGAUUUGAUUGCCUGCAGGGGGAUGCCGGAGUCCAACCGCAGCUCCUGUCUCAUUCAUGCUGAGCGCUGCUCUCCUGUGCGCACGGAUCUGCAGAGCUGAGCUUUUUGAACUGCUGCUGCUGCUCUCUGACGAGCCGAGCGGGAAUGGAAACGUCCUCUGCUGCAACUCUGACAUCCUAAAGAAAAGAAGAAAUAAUGCCAAGCAGGGAUAAUACAAAACACGGCUUAAUAAGAAGUCCAGAGGUCGGGUUCAUCAGCAGAGCAGUUAAGUCACUUGAAUGGACUCGUUUCCAGCAUCUGUAUCUUUCUUUUACAUCCUCCCUGUGACAAGCGCUAUCCCUCACUACCGCGAAGCUUUGGCCUGGCAGCAGAGCUGGAAUGCUGUCUGGACUGUGAUGUGAUAAUCAGAACCAGACUCAAGCAAACCAGGACCUCAUCCAAUCACAAUCAGCCCAGAAAGACACUUCAGGAAUUUCGUCUCUUCCUCUGUGACUAGAGCCUCAUGCCAAAAAGACGUAGGUUCUGGUUUGGCUAGCAGUGAAACUGGAAAAUCACAUACCUCCAAUGUUUUUAAUCUUGCACCUGGAGUCACCCUCCCCCCAAUGCAAAAACAAAUUAGUCUCCGUAUUGUCGUUUGUUAAUGUUUUGUCUGUUGUGGAUUUGUUGUCAAACUGGAUUAAAAUGAGCCGUAUGUGCAUGUGUUCACAAA
Poecilia latipinna (sailfin molly) is the source of this 804-nucleotide long non-coding RNA. RefSeq lists it as uncharacterized. The record is from RefSeq and is a predicted model, not a curated record. The transcript has 4 exons. Lineage: Eukaryota; Metazoa; Chordata; Actinopteri; Cyprinodontiformes; Poeciliidae.